Long non-coding RNA from Sander lucioperca (pikeperch), 680 nucleotides. RefSeq lists it as uncharacterized. The transcript is spliced from 2 exons. The record is from RefSeq and is a predicted model, not a curated record. NCBI's taxonomy places the organism in Eukaryota, Metazoa, Chordata, Actinopteri, Perciformes, Percidae.
AUUCAGGCUUAAGUAAAUAUAGCGUGUGACAGGAGACUUUGGCCAAUCACAGGUUAUUUCAGAGAGAGAGAGAGAGAGAGAGUUCCUAUUGGCUCUUAUGUGCUUAUAUUGCCCGUGCGACAGAGAGGGGAGAGCUGCAGGAAGAGUCUCACUCUACUACAAAUUCUGGCGUUUCUUUGCAUUCUACCUAUUGCAGCUUUAAAUACGGCUGUGAUGGUAUAGUUUUUUUCUUACCGCGGUGAAGAAGCAACGUGUCACCGCGGUAUCGCGGUUAACCGCAACCCCCUUACGAGAGUAGCGUAAGUUAGAGCAAGAAUAGCAGGGUGCCUUAAGUGAGUGAUGUCAGUGCUCGUGUGGUCGCAAAGGAGAGCGAGCGCUAACGGAGAGUAGCGUACGAGUGCAGCUGUGAGGAAAAGUGUGAGGAAAAAGAGGUAGCAAAGAUGAUGUAAAGUGAGUUAAAAGUGAACAAUAAAACAACGAGCUUCUCAAGACACGGUGGCUUUAUCUGUUGUCAAUACUGCCAGUAAAGUGAAUGGCGUUACCCCCGAAAAAGCAUCGGCUUAAACCUUACAUCAUAUGUUGCAGUCAUAGACUCUCAAUGUGAGAGUCUUUACUGUGUCUUGCUGUCAUUUACGGCCGCGCUUCUUUCUCUCCUCUCCGUUGAUCUAUUCCACAGACAG